RNAcentral lists this long non-coding RNA (4526 nucleotides) under Takifugu rubripes (torafugu). RNAcentral's name for it is "lncRNA (ENSTRUG00000026534.1)". The record is from RNAcentral. Lineage: Eukaryota; Metazoa; Chordata; Actinopteri; Tetraodontiformes; Tetraodontidae.
AUGGAUGAGGAUUUCAAUGUUGAAUAUUUUAAUCAAGUACCGAUUGUUUUACAAAUAGCUGUUGAUCAAUUAAGUGAUGAGGAUUUCAAUGUUGAAUAUUUUAAUCAAGUACCGAAUGCUUUACAAAUAGCUGUUGAUCAAUUAAGUGAAAUUCCAAUCUCCAUUCCAAUAAAUUUACAUUUUACAGAGCAAAAUGAAAACGUCCUAGAACUUGACACCUUACAACUCAUAAAUGAUGCCCUCGAAAACCUUAAUGCAGUUAAUGCAGUAGAGUUUGAAAAUCAUUCUCCUUCAUCAGCUCUCCACACGCAAAGUGAUCAUGUCUUACACGCGGUAACAAUCAGAUCAGAGACGGAUUCAGCAGAGACACAAGAAGGGGGGUCAGAGAGCAGCCCCUCAGCCCUUACACACAUGGCCCCCCCUAAACUUUCUCCUCAGCAAGGGGGAGGAGGGCUAGGAGAAAAUCCAUCCGAUCUCUCUCCUGAGCGGGGUGAGAGGUUUUUUAAUGAUUUUAUCACAUGGAGAACAAGACGCUCCUUUAACAUUCCCACUCGGGGAAAUGUGCCUGACAUUGCAACAUUCUAUCGAGAUGUAACAGGGGUUAUCAGCGAAUUGGUGGAUGUUGCCAGACGACAUAGUAGUCGCAAUGAUUUAAUACAGUUGGAGGUGGUGGGUGAAAACGUACACAAUCAUGUUACAGUUGCUGUGGAUGAACAAGGUGAAAAUAUUCUACCGGCUUUUAAUGGAAUGCUAGAUCGGAUUGUGCAGUCAAACGGUAUCAUUUCAUCGGAUGAGAAUAUAGAAUUCAUCCUUCACGUGGUGCAGAACCCAGGAGGAGGUGCCAAACGUAAGAUGGAGAAAACUCUAGACUGUGAAAUCAUUGACAAAAAAAGACGUCACUUAUUUAUCGUAGACAACAGAGACAACCAGCUUUGCUUCGCCAUCAGUCUAGCUCACGUUAUCUACCCGAAACUUACUGAAAGAGGAUGCCUUGAUAUUGCGAGGAAGUUGCAGCAUCAGGCUGGUUUAAAUGAUGAGACCCCCGUCACUUUCAGUGACAUUGGUAAAUUUGAAAAUAUUCUGGGGCGUAAAAUUGUUGUGUUUUACAGAACAUGCCACAGUAAACCCCUCUCACAUUAUGAGACAAAAUUCUCUGAUCGUUCCAAUCAGUUGUUUCUCUUUUUACUACAAAAUCACUAUUAUGGGAUAAAAAAUCUCAAAGCCUUCCUGGGGUCGUCAGUCUGUAAUUAUUGUUACAAGACUUUUAAGCACCCCUAUACCCACUUUUGUAAAGGUUACUGCGCAGUGUGCAACGAUCCUGCCUGCCCCACAGAAGGGUUCAACACAGUGGUUUGCUCUGACUGUAACAGAACGUGUCGCUCACCCUCUUGUUUCACCAGACACAAAUUGGUCGGUUCAAGCAGAAAGUCCAGCCUCUGCGACCAAAUCAAAAAAUGCGCACGAUGCGAACUAUACUACAGUGUCAAUUUGUCGUUAGACGAUGCAAAGCAUCGCUGUGCGGUGAAAAAAUGUAAAAUCUGUGGUGAAAAACUGCAGAGCGACUCUAAAGUCGAUCAUAGUUGUUACAUUCCUACCCUCCAACCAGACAUCUCACAUCCUGAUUUGGUUUUUUAUGAUUUUGAAACAUUUGUGGGUCAAAAUGGAGAGCAUGUUCCUUUUUUAGUGCAUACAAAAACAUCCAAAGGUGAAGAGAAGGCGUUUUAUGGUCUUGACUGUGCUAAAAUGUUUAUUUUGCAUUUCAGGAAGCCACGAUACAAACAGAACAUCUUUAUAGCCCAUAAUGCCAAGGGGUUUGACAGUUAUCUGGUGUUAAAAGGUAUGUUGGAACUGGAUGUGACGCCACAACAGAUUCUGAUGAACGGGAGUAAAAUCCUCAGUUUUGAGGAAUCCCAUUAUGGUCUCAAAUUCAUAGAUUCCCUGUCAUUUCUCCCCAUGCGUCUCAGCGCUAUGCCCAAAGCCUUAGGAUUCACUGACAAGACCAAGGGGUAUUUCCCACACAAAUUUAGCUCAGAAAUUCACCUCAAUUACGUGGGGCCCUAUCCCGUUCCGUCCGACUACGACGUAGAUCGCAUGACGGUGCGCGAACGGGAAGAAUUUGACCCGUGGUACAACGAGGUCAGCCGCGGUACCUUUGACUUCAAAAAGGAGGCCUCGCUGUACUGCAAAAAUGAUGUUGACAUUCUCACCCAGGGCAGUCUUAAAUUUAGAGAUCAGUUCCUAGGUGAGACGGGGGUAGACCCUUUUGGUUCUAUCGCCAUAGCCGGAGCCUGUAUGAAGGUGUUUCGCACCAAUUAUCUGACUCCUAACACUCUGGCUAUCCCCUGCCCGCACAACUAUUUGAAUCAGAGCAAAAGAUUCUCUAGCGCAUCGGUUCAAUGGUUAGAAUGGUUGAUGCACAAAGAAAAAAUCUUUAUACAGCAUGCUCUAAACAUGGGUGAAAAACAGAUUGGUGCAUUUUUCGUAGACGGAUAUGCUGAGAUUGACGGUGUAAAACAUGUCUGGGAAUUUCAUGGAUGUUUUUACCACGGCUGUCCCAGUUGCUUUGAUCCCACAGUACAGUGCGAUAUGAGAGGCGUCACCUUUGGUGAACUGCACUACAAAAGUGAGAAGAGGGUGAGUGAGCUACAGACCACACAUGGGGUUCGUGUUGUAGUCAUGAGAGAACACACGUGGAACCAGAUGAAAACAACAUGCACGGAGGUUAAAGAAUUUCUCCGUUGCUUUAACGCUCCUGAGCCUCUCAACCCCCGAAAAGCACUUUUCGGAGGUAGAACGAGCGCUUUAAAACUGCGACACACGGCAGCGCCCGAUGAAACCAUCCACUAUGUUGAUGUCACCUCACUGUACCCGUUUGUCAACAGUACUUGCUCUUACCCCUUUGGUCACCCCGUGAUCAUCUACAAAGAUUUCGAGGACCCACGCAGCUACUACGGCUUCAUCAGAGCCACUGUGUAUCCUCCUCGAGGUCUUUUAUUCCCCGUGUUACCGCACAAAAGUGAGGGAGGUAAAUUACUCUUUACACUGUGUCGCACCUGUGCCGAAACUAACAAUGAGGGUGGCCCCUGCGAACACGACGAUGAGGGCAGAGCUCUGACGGGGGUCUGGGUCACCGUUGAAUUCAUCAAAGCUCUGGAUGUGGGGUAGCCACUGUGUAUCCUCCUCGAGGUCUUUUAUUCCCCGUGUUACCGCACAAAAGUGAGGGAGGUAAAUUACUCUUUACACUGUGUCGCACCUGUGCCGAAACUAACAAUGAGGGUGGCCCCUGCGAACACGACGAUGAGGGCAGAGCUCUGACGGGGGUCUGGGUCACCGUUGAAUUCAUCAAAGCUCUGGAUGUGGGGUACAGGGUGGGUAAAAUUACAGAAGUCUGGCACUUUGACAAGAGCAGCGACACUGUGUUUACCGACUACAUACACACCUUUUUGAAAGGAAAGCAGGAAGCCUCGGGUUACCCCGCUGAGGCGACGGACCGAGAGAGCAGGGAAAAAUACAUCAGGGACUAUCAGGAGCAUCAGGGCAUUCUUUUAGAUGCUGGCAAAAUCGAGACCAAUCCUGUGAAAAGACAGGUUGCUAAAUUGUGUCUCAACAGUUUGUGGGGAAAGUUUGCACAGAGAGAUAAUUUGUUUAAAACCACCAUUGUCUCAGAUCCUAAAGAAUUCUUUAGUUACAUGUUUUCAGGUAAAUACAAAGUCGAAUACUUUUCCGUUCUCCACAGCAACAGAGCUCUCAUCAGGUGGAAAUACACCGACAGGUACGUUCAACCCCCAGGUAAACAGAGUAAUGUUUUUAUUGCAGCAUUCACCACAGCACACGCACGACUGAAGCUGUACAGUUAUCUGGAAAAACUACAAGACAGAGUGUUUUACAUCGACACAGAUAGUUUAAUCUAUCUGGUCAAAGAGGGUGAGAAACCUCUAGAGCUGGGUAACUAUUUAGGUGACCUGACGGAUGAACUGGAUGGUGACAGCAUUCAAGAGUUUGCAGCGGCGGGUCCCAAGAGUUACGCGUACCAAACACGAAAUAAAAAGAAAGUCGUCAUGCGUGUGAAAGGUAUCACUCAGACCCGGGAAUUUUGUGAGCGUGUGAGCUUUGACAGUGUCAGAGAGCUGGUGGAGGGUUACCUGAGUAAUAAACAAGAGGGAAACACGAUCGAGAUCCGUCAACACAGCAUCAGACGUGAUAAAAAGGGUUUCGCAUUGAGAAAUGUGUCAUUUGAUAAAAAAAUUAGGGUGGUGUAUGACAAAAGACGACUCUUUGCUGACGGAACAACUCUGCCUUUCGGGUAUUAGAAAUGCAGGAAAUUGAAUUUGAUCCUAGGUUUAUCUUUCCUUUUUCUUGUUUAAUCGCGGGUCCGAGCGGGUGUGGAAAGACCUAUUUUGUAAAAAAUGUAUUGGAAAACUGUGACCGUGUAAUAAAUGUUGUACCUGACAAUAUCGUGUGGAUUUAUACCUCUUUUCAACCUAUGUACGCUGAACUGCAAAAGAUGAUUAAAAACAUUAAAUUUG